RNAcentral lists this ribosomal RNA (492 nucleotides) under uncultured bacterium. Its description in RNAcentral is "partial 16S ribosomal RNA". It matches the Rfam family "Bacterial small subunit ribosomal RNA", at positions 28 to 507 of the family's 1533-position model. The record is from RNAcentral.
GAUGAACGCUAGCUACAGGCUUAACACAUGCAAGUCGAGGGGAAACGGCAUCGAAAGCUUGCUUUUGAUGGGCGUCGACCGGCGCACGGGUGAGUAACGCGUAUCCAACCUGCCCAUCACUUGGGAAUAACCUUGCGAAAGUAAGACUAAUGCCCAAUGACAUCCCACGAAGGCAUCCGAAUGGGAUUAAAGAUUUAUCGGUGAUGGAUGGGGAUGCGUCUGAUUAGCUUGUUGGCGGGGUGACGGCCCACCAAGGCAACGAUCAGUAGGGGUUCUGAGAGGAAGGUCCCCCACAUUGGAACUGAGGCACGGUCCAAACUCCUACGGGAGGCAGCAGUGAGGAAUAUUGGUCAAUGGGCGAGAGCCUGAACCAGCCAAGUAGCGUGCAGGAUGACGGCCCUAUGGGUUGUAAACUGCUUUUAUAAGGGAAUAAAGUGGGUCACGUGUGACUUUUUGCAUGUACCUUAUGAAUAAGGACCGGCUAAUUCCGUG